GACGAACGCUGGCGGCGUGCUUAACACAUGCAAGUCGAGCGGUAAGGCCUUUCGGGGUACCCGAGCGGCGAACGGGUGAGUAACACGUGGGUGAUCUGCCCUGCACUUCGGGAUAAGCCUGGGAAACUGGGUCUAAUACCGGAUAUGACCUCCUAUCGCAUGGUGGGUGGUGGAAAGAUUUAUCGGUGCAGGAUGGGCCCGCGGCCUAUCAGCUUGUUGGUGGGGUAAUGGCCUACCAAGGCGACGACGGGUAGCCGACCUGAGAGGGUGACCGGCCACACUGGGACUGAGACACGGCCCAGACUCCUACGGGAGGCAGCAGUGGGGAAUAUUGCACAAUGGGCGAAAGCCUGAUGCAGCGACGCCGCGUGAGGGAUGACGGCCUUCGGGUUGUAAACCUCUUUCAGCAGGGACGAGGCGCAAGUGACGGUACCUGCAGAAGAAGCACCGGCUAACUACGUG
This 462-nucleotide ribosomal RNA is filed under the name uncultured bacterium. RNAcentral's name for it is "partial 16S ribosomal RNA". It matches the Rfam family "Bacterial small subunit ribosomal RNA", at positions 28 to 507 of the family's 1533-position model. The record is from RNAcentral.